UCGGGGAUACACGAGUGGCGCACGGGUGCGUAACGCGUAUGCAACCUACCUGGAACUGGGGAAUAGCCCGAAGAAAUUCGGAUUAAUACUCCAUAAUUUUCCAAAAACACAUGUUUCUGGAAUUAAAGUUACGGCGGUUCCAGAUGGGCAUGCGUGACAUUAGCUAGUUGGUGAGGUAACGGCUCACCAAUGCCACGAUGUCUAGGGGUCCUGAGAGGGUUUUCCCCCACACUGGUACUGAGACACGGACCAGACUCCUACGGGAGGCAGCAGUAAGGAAUAUUGGGCAAUGGGCGCAAGCCUGACCCAGCCAUGCCGCGUGCAGGAUGACUGCCCUACGGGUUGUAAACUGCUUUUCUAUGAGAAAAAUAUCUCCGACGUGUCGGGGAUUGAUGGUACCAUAGGAAUAAGCAUCGGCUAACUCCGUGCCAGCAGCCGCGGUAAUACGGAGGAUGCAAGCGUUAUCCGGAUUCAUUGGGUUUAAAGGGUGCGCAGGCGGAUUAGUAAGUCAGUGGUGAAAUCUUCCGGCUCAACUGGGAAACUGCCAUUGAUACUGUUAAUCUUGAAUGUAGUUGUAGUAGGCGGAAUACGGCAUGUAGCGGUGAAAUGCAUAGAUAUGCCGUAGAACACCGAUCGCGAAGGCAGCUUACUAAACUAUUAUUGACGCUGAGGCACGAAAGCGUGGGGAGCAAACAGGAUUAGAUACCCUGGUAGUCCACGCUGUAAACUAUGAUCACUCGCUGUUGGCAAUACAUCGUCAGCGGCUGAGCGAAAGCAUUAAGUGAUCCACCUGGGGAAUACGAUCGCAAGAUUGAAACUCAAAGGAAUUGACGGGGGCCCGCACAAGCGGUGGAGCAUGUGGUUUAAUUCGAUGAUACGCGAGGAACCUUACCUGGGCUUAAAUGUAAGACGACAGUCCCCGAAAGGGGAUUUUCCUUCGGGACGUCCUACAAGGUGCUGCAUGGUUGUCGUCAGCUCGUGCCGUGAGGUGUCGGGUUAAGUCCCAUAACGAGCGCAACCCCUAUUCUUAGUUGCCAUCAGGUAAAGCUGGGGACUCUAAGGAAACUGCCUACGCAAGUAGUGAGGAAGGUGGGGAUGACGUCAAAUCAGCACGGCCCUUAUGUCCAGGGCUACACACGUGCUACAAUGGCCGGUACAAAGGGUAGCUACCUGGUGACAGGAUGCUAAUCUCUAAACCCGGUCUCAGUUCGGAUUGAGGUCUGCAACUCGACUUUAUGAAGCUGGAAUCGCUAGUAAUCGUGUAUCAGCAACGAUACGGUGAAUACGUUCCCGG
RNAcentral lists this ribosomal RNA (1294 nucleotides) under uncultured organism. RNAcentral describes it as "bacterial SSU rRNA". It matches the Rfam family "Bacterial small subunit ribosomal RNA", at positions 80 to 1377 of the family's 1533-position model. The record is from RNAcentral.